Molecule: long non-coding RNA, 1804 nt
Organism: Oncorhynchus keta (chum salmon)
Lineage: Eukaryota; Metazoa; Chordata; Actinopteri; Salmoniformes; Salmonidae
Exons: 3
Source: RefSeq, a predicted model, not a curated record
ACAACGUCAAAGUCGAUAGCUCAGGGAGGAGAAUCGCUCCUCUGUUGCCUUGAGACACACAUUUAAAAUAAACAAGCUGUUAUCCAAGUCAGAGGAAGAGGAGUGCUGGCACAUAUCUGUGCUGUGGAGGGAGCAUGAAAUCCAGACAGAUGAUGGUGAUCGUGUCAUGGAGCCUGACGGAGGCAUGGUUCUGCUGCCCAGUGUAAAAUGUUUGUUUAGACUUGACGCUUGUGGCAUUCAGGCGCUGGGUUCACGUGCUAAAUGCAUGGAGAGGUGUAAGAAGCUGUGUUGAAAAGGGUAUUGUCUGGCAUCUCCUCUGAUUUGAUGAAAUCCAUAAUGGCCUUAUAAAAGUUACCGACGGCAACUGGAACAGCUACUCUCUCCUCUUCCUCGGAGAUGGCCGGUUGAUGAAUAUAGAAACCAAGCUGUCAGUUGUGAGGCGGAGAGACGUCUCGGAGGUUGCCUGUCAGUCAUUGGGGGAACCUGUCAGAAAGUGAAAAGGCAACGUUAAGACGUCAGACACAUUUACAUUGAGCCCUGUCUGCUAUAGAAAGCCUCUCCCUCGCCAGUGACCAAUGUUGAUUCUACAAUAACGGCCGCGACGCAGCGCUGCGAAAAUCUUUUUCUUUCAGCGAGCGAACCCCCUCGUCCUAUUAGACCCGAUGCUGUGUGAAAUCCACCCUCACCAUUUCCUCUAGCUGGAAAAGUAAAGAACAUGAAUACGGGCUCCGAGGAGAGGCUACAAUAUUCACGUACGUGUACACACACUCAGGCACACACUUCAGUCUCCGGCUCUUUAUUUGUCUGUGCCUGGGAAGGCCGAGGCCUCUUGCAGCCCAAGCGACCUAAGCAACAGCUGGUGUGCACAGACACAUUUCCUAUUUCUGCCCAAGGUGGAUCAUAUAACUCUCACUUUAUCACCCUUGGAGGCCAUGUGAAGGACAAAAUGAGCACGCCCAUAAACAAAACUAAUGUUUUCAUACUGGCCCUCUGGAGGUGGUAGAAGGGGCCCUUGGCGAGCCAACACCCCCCAACCACCACCACCACUCCCGCUAAUCCAACCCACCUCCGGCUUGGCUCCUACCCGUAUCAACUUAGACCUCGACCCCACCAACCCUUUCCUCCUCGAGGUUCCCACUGUCCUUCGGUCUCACCCCCCGUCUCCAGCCCACUACCCAUCAAUGACACAGGCCACUUAGGCCAGCACUAUGGCGAUGCUUUGAAUGUGGUGCAUGAAUUUAUGAAUUUAUACAAUUUUCUAUAUGUAAUCUCUAGUCAUAAAUACAAUAGGCCUAGUAUGCAUUUAUGAAAAUGACAGCGUUUUGGUAAUGGCCAUAGACGUUGUACUUGUUUUUUAAAACUCCACACCUUCAUCUGUUGUCCCCUUCCUCCCAGUCCUUCCACAGUGGUACUUCUAAGGGCACGGGCCUCUGGAUAUCUCACCCUUCACUCUCCUAUCUCGAGUGUUAUUGGCUGCAGGGCCAGCGGCUGCAGAUACACAGCAUAGCAGCCGGCCCUCAGUGACCCGAUAACAUUUAUCGUUGUAAUGGAUUUUUUUUUUAUGCCUGUCAUUAACUCACAGGCAGAGGGGGAAAAAGAUUGCUUGUACCAUUUUUUUCCUGUGGUAUUUCGACUUUAUGACAUUAUGUUCAGAUAUGUAAUCUUCCAUCAUCCUAGUUUUAGGGCCUGUCUGACCUGUCACUGCUUUCUGUGUUUAAAUGCAUAGCCCUUUGUGUGCUGUGUGGACUCUCCUUGUAUCUAGCUAUUGUAAUGAAUAUUUUAUGAAGCUAAAUUAAAAUGGUUG